RNAcentral lists this long non-coding RNA (469 nucleotides) under Triticum aestivum (bread wheat). Its description in RNAcentral is "long non-coding RNA (TAES_LNC006662)". The record is from RNAcentral. Lineage: Eukaryota; Viridiplantae; Streptophyta; Magnoliopsida; Poales; Poaceae.
UUAACAUAAUUAAUAUUGAACUUUUAAAGUUAAUGUGGCCCCGUUGCAACGCACGGGCGUUCUUCUAGUAUAUAUAGCAGCGCAGUAAUCCGAUCCAACCAAACUGAAAUCAUGAGUAGUCUGCGCAAUAAUAAACUAGCAAGAGAUCAUAAUUCAUAGCUAGGUAGAUGAAGUAAACGACUUGAUAAAUACGUAGAUCUUGGCUUGGACGAUCAGCCCGAUGAGUGAGGUGACCCUGCAGUGGAAUCAACACAACACAAGCAAGAAUUACUUGGUAGUAAGGUUAGAUCAACGCAACGCAAUAGGAACAAAUAAGCACAGAUGCAUAAACAAGAAUUUGUGUGCAGCGCACGCACCUAGCCGAAGUGCGCGCGGGCCUCGGUCGUGGACUGCAGCAGGGCGUCCCAGCCCUGGAUCGUGCCGACGAUGCGCGCCCGAGCAUCGUCGAUAUCGGCGGCGACGAGGCCGG